AGAGUUUGAUCAUGGCUCAGAACGAACGCUGGCGGCGUGGAUUAGGCAUGCAAGUCGAACGAGAAAGGGUUCGCAAGAACCCUAGUAAAGUGGCGAAAGGGUGAGUACUACCUAGGUAACCUGCCCUGAUGACGGGAACAACAGUUCUAACGGACUGCUAAUACCCGAUACGACGGCGAGGUCGCAUGAACUUGCCGGGAAACGGUAGCCUCUGUUUACAAGCUUCCGCUUCGGGAGGGGCCUCGGCCCUAUCAGCUAGUUGGCG
This 265-nucleotide ribosomal RNA is filed under the name uncultured bacterium. RNAcentral's name for it is "partial 16S ribosomal RNA". It matches the Rfam family "Bacterial small subunit ribosomal RNA", at positions 8 to 254 of the family's 1533-position model. The record is from RNAcentral.